Gorilla gorilla gorilla (western lowland gorilla) is the source of this 326-nucleotide non-coding RNA. It matches the Rfam family "7SK RNA". Rfam says of the family: 7SK was discovered as an abundant small nuclear RNA in the mid-70s but a possible function has only recently been suggested. Two independent studies have found that 7SK RNA binds the CDK9/cyclin T complex (known as elongation factor P-TEFb). Lineage: Eukaryota; Metazoa; Chordata; Mammalia; Primates; Hominidae. The record is from Rfam.
GGAUAUGAGAGUAAUUUGGCUGUGACACCUGCCACUGCAUUGAUUGUCAGGGUUGAUUCAUCUGAUCUGGCUGAAUAGACGGGUGUGCCCCUGCCUCCCUCACCGCUCCACCUGUGUCCCUCCUGAAGCUGCACACUUGGUCAAAAAGGGCAACCUUCUCUGACAGAGGAGGAUCAUUCUUUGGUCAAAGGCAUGCAAAAAGUUGCCAGUAUCCCCAAACAAGAAUAAGAAAAGGAGAGAUCAAUGAAGGGGAGAACGAGAAAAAAUGGCAAGGAGAAAAAAGAAAUUAAAGUUUAAAAACAGACCUGAAAAAUAAUAGUCUCCAG